RNAcentral lists this transfer RNA (88 nucleotides) under Bacillus sp. 165. It matches the Rfam family "tRNA". Rfam says of the family: Transfer RNA (tRNA) molecules are approximately 80 nucleotides in length. The record is from Rfam by way of RNAcentral. Lineage: Bacteria; Bacillati; Bacillota; Bacilli; Caryophanales; Bacillaceae.
AGAGAAGUACCCAAGUGGCUCAAGGGGCUCCCCUGCUAAGGGAGUAGAUCGCGAUAGCGGUGCGAGGGUUCGAAUCCCUUCUUCUCUG